GCUGAUUGGUUGCUCCUCUGUCAUGUGAUUCUUAGGUUUUACAAAGCAGAUCCUUCAGCCUUGUGAAUAUACGUUUGUAUAUGGAAGCCAGGAAAUCAGCGCCAAAGGUUCUACACUCUGACAGACCUUAAAUUUCUGCCUAAUGCUGUUCCCCCUGAAGGGACAAAUUUUAGUGUGCCUCUUCUGCCCCCCAGUGGUCAAUAUAAUUUUUUAUAAAUUCUGGCCAGGCUUUUAACCCAGGCCCUUUUCUGAGUAAAUUUUUUCCAGUUGAACCAGUCGAUAAAAGGUAAUCUCAUUUGCUUUUGUUCUGGUCAUAUUUUUCCGUUAUGUUUCGAUAUUAAGCAAACAUAAAAAUGUAGUGUGAUCUCUGAGGUCUAGCUACAGAGGUAUCAGGCUGUUUUUCCACAUCUUCUGAAGUGUUAUUAGUUUGUCUGCUUUCUCGGUUAUAUGUAUUAACGUAAAACGCACCACAAACCAGACAAGCAAAUUAUAGGUUGUACCUUUUUUUUUGUUAAAGCCAUUUCCUAUUUUAACGAGCGCAGCAGGAGUAUGAGUGCAGCAUUUGGUCUUGAUCCCCUUUCAUUCAGUGCCAGUGCACCUCAGAAGGGCUGCCUGUUACUUCCAGGGCUUCAGCCAAUGGAGACGGGCUCCCUCGGAUGGUGCGGCGGUUACAUAAUAAUUGCAGUGGAUUCAGAUUAAAGCUGGCUUUUAUUGCUGGCUAAUUAUUGCAGGGGUGUUUCGGAAGAGGCUGCCAGAAUCCCACCAGGCUGCUAUCAGCCAGAUAUGAAGCGGCUGAAUGACUCCCUUUGAUUUUUCCUCAGUAGUGCACUUUUAAGUUUCGCAGUACACCUUCCUGUCUGCCCUUUUAUCUCGUGUUGUGACUGUCUACAACCGUGUUUCCCAAACCGGUCUUCGGGGACUCUCACACCAUCCAUGCUUUUGCUCCGAGUGCUGGGAAGGAGCAAAAACGUGGACUGGCUGGUGAUCUCCGAGGACUGGGUUUGGAAAGACUGGUCCACCAUAUCCCGUUUAAGGUCCAUCUUGGAUGUUUUCUGGCAAUUCCUCUCCUCCAAACCGCAGUCUGAAAGUCAGAGGAAGGGCAUGUGCGACCGUCUUGGGCCUCUCCACUCGCUGUACCAUCCUCUGCUGCCGUUCUCUCAUCUCUCCAAACCCCUCCCCCACUCCCUCCCCCUCCCCAUGUGGCUCUUUCCUUGUGUGUCCUUCCUCGUUAAAUUCCAGACUGUUCCUGACUGCUGCAAAUCACGUUUUAACAGUCUAAUCACACAGUCACUGGCGGUAAAUGCCAUAAUUGUUUCUAAUCUCAUUCUUUUGCAUCACACUGUAAUGACAAAGUUGGUCAUUAAGGUUUAAUAACUGUUGCCAUGCCACCGAUUUUUAUUUAUUUAUUGGGGAGAGAAGGUUUCCCCUUGCAUAAAAAUCAGAGCACAGUUCGCAUUAGAUUUUGCUUGUUUUCUUCAACAGUGGUCCAGUAGCACAAAUUUUAAAGCAGGAAGCGUAAACAAGUUUAGUCUUGCCAAUAUGACUUUUGGGUUAAGAAGGGAAGCAAAUCAGUUUUCCUGAAACACUGAAGAAUGUAGAUGAAUGUGCUAAUCGCUUUUUCCUGCUGUGCAUCUGUGCCCAAUGAGACAUGUAGGAAUAUGACAGAGGAUGAGGCCCGACUCAAUCCAUCCGAUAUCCGAGCACAGUGAACGCGACCUUUAAUUUGGAGACCUUUCCGGAGCGUUCCGUCACAGAAGUGUCACAGGGCACAGCGCAUUCGAUUAAUACUCUCGCUCACUUUUUCCUUAGAGGAGAAGGGGCCUGCUCAUAUGGGGGGUGGGGGGUAGGUAAAAUCUGGUAGGUGGUUGAUUACCGUGAAAUGCUCGAAUACCUUGGAAGGUGGCUCAUAAUUUGCCAUCAUCGCCCCCCUCCCAGUCUUGUGAAAUGCUCAUAGAUUGCAUGCUCAUGUGUGGUCAUACUCCUAAAUGUUCAUUUCCUAUCACGUACUGUAAGGAUAUUAAUCAUCAAAUCAUUGGCUUUUUUUGUUCCUUGUCUUUCCUCAUUUCUUGUGCAUUUCUCUUUGUCUCAAUGUGUUUUACGCUUUUCAGUUAAUACUACUGUGUGCUUGCCAUAAUUUCUCUUUACGACAUUUAAAAUUUGUUUGGUUUUAAUAAAGAAUUCAGAUCACCCCCAAA
Molecule: long non-coding RNA, 2195 nt
Organism: Paramormyrops kingsleyae
Lineage: Eukaryota; Metazoa; Chordata; Actinopteri; Osteoglossiformes; Mormyridae
Source: RefSeq, a predicted model, not a curated record